UCGUGCUGAUCUAAUAAUCAUGUUCUCUUUAGUUUGCCGAGAAAAUAAUUAGGGGAGGCAAUAAACAUCAAAACCACACAGAAGGCAGUGAACAAGCUGAGGCUAGAUUUAGCCACUGCCCUCCUCCGAGAAACUGGUGUGUUAUUCAACCUGUGCCACUACUGUGGGAUGGAGGAGAAGGAUGAGUAACUAUGGAUCUGCUGUGACAUUUGUGGGAGAUGGUACCACCAUGAGUGCGUGCAGAGGCCUACACUGGAGGAGGACUACUCGUGCCUUGCGUGCACAUAAUCCAAAAAAAGUAAUUUGUUGUCAUUUGUUAAUUUGUCUCUAUUGCUAUAU
Molecule: long non-coding RNA, 339 nt
Organism: Osmerus eperlanus (European smelt)
Lineage: Eukaryota; Metazoa; Chordata; Actinopteri; Osmeriformes; Osmeridae
Exons: 3
Source: RefSeq, a predicted model, not a curated record